Molecule: ribosomal RNA, 410 nt
Filed under: uncultured bacterium
Lineage: Bacteria
Description: partial 16S ribosomal RNA
Rfam family: Bacterial small subunit ribosomal RNA
Source: RNAcentral
CCUACGGGAGGCAGCAGUGGGGAAUAUUGCACAAUGGGGGAAACCCUGAUGCAGCGACGCCGCGUGAGUGAAGAAGUAAUUCGUUAUGUAAAGCUCUUUUGUCAGGGAGCAACGCCGGCUACGUGUAGCCGGACUGAGAGUACCUGAAGAAAAAGCAUCGGCUAACUCCGUGCCAGCAGCCGCGGUAAUACGGAGGAUGCGAGCGUUAUCCGGAUGUAGUGGGGGUAAAGGGUGCGUAGGCGGGCUGCCCAGUCAGCGGUUAAAUCGCGGGGCUCCACCUCGCUCCGCCGUUGAAACUGGCGGUCUUGAGUGGGCGAGCACUAUGCGGAAUGCGUGGUGUAGCGGUGAAAUGCAUAGAUAUCACGCAGAACUCCGAUUGCGAAGGCAGCAUACCGGCGCCCAACUGACGC